Pangasianodon gigas (Mekong giant catfish) is the source of this 72-nucleotide non-coding RNA. Lineage: Eukaryota; Metazoa; Chordata; Actinopteri; Siluriformes; Pangasiidae. The record is from the annotation of a GenBank genome assembly.
GACCUUGUGGCGCAACGGUAGCGCGCCUGACUCCAGGUCAGAAGGUUGUAUGUUCAAGUCACAUUGGGGUCA